UGAAAAUGGCGUCCUCCUCGGUAAGAGCUCCUGUCCCUGCGGCUGGAAAAGGUGAAUUUCCCAAUGAGAAGUCUAAGCCGGAGAACCGAGGUUUGAAAAGUAGUCCUAGAUACCAUGAAGAAUAUUCAUCCCAUUUACAACAUUAAACUUCUACUGAGAGUAAACUUGAUGUGGCUGCCAUCAAGGAGAAGGUCAAGAAAGCAAAGGGAAAGAAACUUGGAGCUCUUGCAACUGAAGAAGUGAAGCUGCAGAUGGAAGCAGAUGAGAAGAAAAAGAAGAGAAAAAAGUAACUCUGAGAAGCCUUCCUGAAGUGAAACUUAUAUUUCCUUUGGUAGAGGGCUGUGAGAAAGCUGGCCAUGAGUUGCCUUAUACGUGAGCAAUAACAGUGGUCAUCUCUUUUCCCGAGUGUCUUCGGUUCGUAGAGCAGCACUCAUGCUAGAUGUAUGUAGCUCACUCAUUUUACAGACUUGGAAACUAAAGCAUAGAAACAAAGUUACUUAGUGAAAGUCCAGCUAUGGAAGCUUAUGAACAAUAUUUGUUUGCAGAAAUGUGGAAAAUAAAGGGCGUCGGUGGUUAACUUACAGAGUUAGGAGGCCAAGCAGUUCUUUUGACUAAAGCUUUAUUGCAACAUGCUUUUUCUGAAAUAAAAUAGAAAUUAAAAAUAAAA
Jaculus jaculus (lesser Egyptian jerboa) is the source of this 667-nucleotide long non-coding RNA. RefSeq lists it as uncharacterized. The record is from RefSeq and is a predicted model, not a curated record. The transcript is spliced from 2 exons. NCBI's taxonomy places the organism in Eukaryota, Metazoa, Chordata, Mammalia, Rodentia, Dipodidae.